AGUGAACGCUGGCGGUAGGCCUAACACAUGCAAGUCGAACGGCAGCACAGUAAGAGCUUGCUCUUACGGGUGGCGAGUGGCGGACGGGUGAGGAAUACAUCGGAAUCUACUUUUUCGUGGGGGAUAACGUAGGGAAACUUACGCUAAUACCGCAUACGACCUACGGGUGAAAGCAGGGGAUCUUCGGACCUUGCGCGAUUGAAUGAGCCGAUGCCGGAUUAGCUAGUUGGCGGGGUAAAGGCCCACCAAGGCGACGAUCCGUAGCUGGUCUGAGAGGAUGAUCAGCCACACUGGAACUGAGACACGGUCCAGACUCCUACGGGAGGCAGCAGUGGGGAAUAUUGGACAAUGGGCGCAAGCCUGAUCCAGCCAUACCGCGUGGGUGAAGAAGGCCUUCGGGGUGUAAAGCCCUUUUGUUGGGAAAGAAAAGCAGCAGGUUAAUACCCCGCUGUUCUGACGGUACCCAAAGAAUAAGCACCGGCUAACUUCGUG
RNAcentral lists this ribosomal RNA (492 nucleotides) under uncultured bacterium. RNAcentral describes it as "partial 16S ribosomal RNA". It matches the Rfam family "Bacterial small subunit ribosomal RNA", at positions 29 to 507 of the family's 1533-position model. The record is from RNAcentral.